UCAGAAGAAACGUUCUGAAGCACAGAAGAAGAAGAAGAAGAAAGAUGCCGAUGGGCCACGUCGGUUAAGGAGGAGAGUGAAGCCGGUGGCCUGAUGCCAGCCAUCAGCCAGGCUACAACAGAUGCUACAACAGAUGCUACAGCACGUGAGGAGGGGGGAGCAGGCAUAUGGUUCUGGGUUGAUGAUGAGAGUCGAUUCAAGUCCCAUCUCUAAAUGAAACCGGCUUGUAAAUGAGCCCUGCAGCAUUUGAUUGAGCUGUGCCACACCCGGCGGCUGCUUCAACUGACCCGACCUCCUCGCAGGACGCAGGGCGCCCAGUUUCCAAACGGGAAGAGACUCGACACUUUCAUCUGUGGUAACUACACUUCACUGAAAUGCUUUUAUCCCCUCCUUUCUCUUUUGUUUUUUUUGGCUGUCACAAAGCAAUUGUCUGUGGCAUUAUUAUUUUUAUUUAAUUUUUUUUCCCCUCACACCAGUUAAAAACUACGCAUUACAUCUUGUUUCAUGUAACACAAUCACUUUUCACACCUGGACACAGCCAGACCACACACGAAGCUAAAAACAGACACAGCAGGGCCACCCCUGGACAGGAGCGAGGAAGACCCUGUGCCAGAAACAAGCCCUCUGUGACCUCUGGUGUUUCCUGUGACCCCUUCCCCCCACUCUGUCAUAAUAAACCUGUCACUGUGCUGAAACCAG
Poeciliopsis prolifica (blackstripe livebearer) is the source of this 699-nucleotide long non-coding RNA. RefSeq lists it as uncharacterized. The transcript has 4 exons. The record is from RefSeq and is a predicted model, not a curated record. Lineage: Eukaryota; Metazoa; Chordata; Actinopteri; Cyprinodontiformes; Poeciliidae.